CAGCCCUCACCCUCACCUUCCUGCCUUUGGACUCUGGACUUCCUCCCGAGGAGGACGAGGAGGAGCAG
Molecule: microRNA precursor, 68 nt
Filed under: Ochotona princeps (American pika)
Lineage: Eukaryota; Metazoa; Chordata; Mammalia; Lagomorpha; Ochotonidae
Description: miRNA (ENSOPRG00000022045.1)
Source: RNAcentral